Plenodomus lindquistii is the source of this 88-nucleotide non-coding RNA. The record is from the annotation of a GenBank genome assembly. Lineage: Eukaryota; Fungi; Ascomycota; Dothideomycetes; Pleosporales; Leptosphaeriaceae.
GGUUGCUUGGUGUAGUGGUCGUACACCUGGUAAAUCCUCCUGCCGCCGACGCUGCAGGAGUUCGUUGGUUCAAAUCCAGCAGCAAUCA